This 413-nucleotide ribosomal RNA is filed under the name Mantidactylus katae. RNAcentral's name for it is "partial 16S ribosomal RNA". It matches the Rfam family "Bacterial large subunit ribosomal RNA", at positions 1928 to 2509 of the family's 2925-position model. The record is from RNAcentral. Lineage: Eukaryota; Metazoa; Chordata; Amphibia; Anura; Mantellidae.
CGGCCACGGUAUCCUAACCGUGCGAAGGUAGCAUAAUCACUUGUUCUUUAAAUGGGGACUUGUAUCAACGGCAUCACGAGGGUUACACUGUCUCCUUUUUCUAAUCAGUGAAACUAAUCUUCCCGUGAAGAAGCGGGAAUAUCCCCAUAAGACGAGAAGACCCCAUGGAGCUUCAAACCCAAUUACACCCCUAACCCCUAUAACUACUUAACCCUUAGGAUUCUGUAUUAUUGGUUUUAGGUUGGGGCGACCACGGAGUACAACAAAACCUCCACAAUGAACGGAACUACUUCCUCAUCUGAGAGCUACACCUCUAAGAAUUAAAAUAUUAACAUAAAAUGAUCCAUUUUUGAUCAAUGAACCAAGUUACCCUGGGGAUAACAGCGCAAUCCAUUUCAAGAGCCCCUAUCGAC